UACGUAGGAUGCGAGCGUUAAUCGGAAUUACUGGGCGUAAAGCGUGCGCAGGCGGUUUUGUAAGCCAGAUGUGAAAUCCCCAGGCUUAACCUGGGAAUGGCAUUUGGGACUGCAAGGCUUGAGUGCGGCAGAGGAGACUGGAAUUCCUGGUGUAGCAGUGAAAUGCGUAGAUAUCAGGAAGAAUACCGAUGGCGAAGGCAGGUCUCUGGGCUGACACUGACGCUCAUGCACGAAAGCGUGGGGAGCAAACAGG
Molecule: ribosomal RNA, 253 nt
Filed under: uncultured bacterium
Lineage: Bacteria
Description: partial 16S ribosomal RNA
Rfam family: Bacterial small subunit ribosomal RNA
Source: RNAcentral